This 396-nucleotide ribosomal RNA is filed under the name uncultured bacterium. Its description in RNAcentral is "partial 16S ribosomal RNA". It matches the Rfam family "Bacterial small subunit ribosomal RNA", at positions 523 to 918 of the family's 1533-position model. The record is from RNAcentral.
AUACGUAGGUGGCAAGCGUUGUCCGGAAUUAUUGGGCGUAAAGCGCAUGUAGGCGGUUUGGUAAGUCGGUCGUGAAAAUGCGGUGCUUAACGCCGUAUGGCGAUUGAAACUGCUGAACUUGAGUGCAGGAGAGGAAAGGGGAACUCCCAGUGUAGCGGUGAAAUGCGUAGAUAUUGGGAAGAAAACCGGUGGCGAAGGCGCAUUUCUGGACUGUGUCUGACGCUCAGAUGCGAAAGCCAGGGUAGCGAACGGGAUUAGAUACCCCGGUAGUCCUGGCCGUAAACGAUGGUUACUAGGUGUGGGAGGUAUCGACUCCUUCCGUGCCGGAGUUAACGCAAUAAGUACCCCGCCUGGGGAGUACGGCCGCAAGGCUUAAACUCAAAUGAAUUGACGGGG